This 468-nucleotide ribosomal RNA is filed under the name uncultured bacterium. RNAcentral's name for it is "partial 16S ribosomal RNA". It matches the Rfam family "Bacterial small subunit ribosomal RNA", at positions 28 to 507 of the family's 1533-position model. The record is from RNAcentral.
GACGAACGCUGGCGGCGUGCUUAACACAUGCAAGUCGAACGGAAAGGCCCUGCUUUUGUGGGGUGCUCGAGUGGCGAACGGGUGAGUAACACGUGAGUAACCUGCCCUUGACUUUGGGAUAACUUCAGGAAACUGGGGCUAAUACCGGAUAGUAGCUCCUGCUGCAUGGUGGGGGUUGGAAAGUUUCGGCGGGUGGGGAUGGACUCGCGGCUUAUCAGCUUGUUGGUGGGGUAGUGGCUUACCAAGGCUUUGACGGGUAGCCGGCCUGAGAGGGUGACCGGCCACAUUGGGACUAAGAGACGGCCCAGACUCCUACGGGAGGCAGCAGUGGGGAGUAUUGCACAAUGGGCGGAAGCCUGAUGCAGCAACGCCGCGUGCGGGAUGACGGCCUUCGGGUUGUAAACCGCUUUCGCCUGUGACGAAGCGUGAGUGACGGUAAUGGGUAAAGAAGCACCGGCUAACUACGUG